Molecule: ribosomal RNA, 253 nt
Filed under: uncultured bacterium
Lineage: Bacteria
Description: partial 16S ribosomal RNA
Rfam family: Bacterial small subunit ribosomal RNA
Source: RNAcentral
UACGUAGGGGGCAAGCGUUGUCCGGAAUUAUUGGGCGUAAAGAGCGCGUAGGCGGUCCGAUAAGUCGGCUGUGAAAGUCAGGGGCUCAACCCUUGGAAGCCGGCCGAUACUGUCGGACUAGAGUCCGGAAGAGGCGAGUGGAAUUCCCGGUGUAGCGGUGAAAUGCGCAGAUAUCAGGAAGAACACCCGUGGCGAAGGCGGUUCUCUGGGACGGUACUGACGCUGAGACGCGAAAGCGUGGGGAGCGAACAGG